UGCCACCAGGCUGGGAAAAAAGAGUGGAUUCAACAGACAGGGUUUACUUUGUGAAUCAUAACACAAAAACAACCCAGUGGGAAGAUCCAAGAACUCAAGGCUUACAGAAUGAAGAACCCCUGCCAGAAGGCUGGGAAAUUAGAUAUACUCGUGAAGGUGUAAGGUACUUUGUUGAUCAUAACACAAGAACAACAACAUUCAAAGAUCCUCGCAAUGGGAAGUCAUCUGUAACUAAAGGUGGUCCACAAAUUGCUUAUGAACGCGGCUUUAGGUGGAAGCUUGCUCACUUCCGUUAUUUGUGCCAGUCUAAUGCACUACCUAGUCAUGUAAAGAUCAAUGUGUCCCGGCAGACAUUGUUUGAAGAUUCCUUCCAACAGAUUAUGGCAUUAAAACCCUAUGACUUGAGGAGGCGCUUAUAUGUAAUAUUUAGAGGAGAAGAAGGACUUGAUUAUGGUGGCCUAGCGAGGUAAAAUAAAAAACACAUAUCUGCCUUGAAAUAAGUAUAUCUCAUUGUAUACAGGGAAAGUAUUCUUCAAAACAUAUGUGAAUAUAUUGUAUUAAAUUUUUGAAUUAACAAUCCAGAAUUUUUCUCAAAAAUACACACGGUAACCAUUAUUAUUAUUACUACUCUUGGUUAUCUUUCUAUACAUCUUUACAUAUAUGUAAAUUUGUAUAUAUGUGUAAUAUAGUAUAUAUUUGCUGCUUUUUUUAACAGUUAAUCAUACAAUGUACAAAAUGUAGGAUCUGAUUUUGUUUUUUUAUAUAGUGUGGGCAUCUUUCUAUGUUAGCAUAUAUACAGUGAGUGAAUGAAUUUGUUUAUUUCUUUUUCUUCUUGUUUUUUAAAAAGUUUUAAAGGCUGGACGUGGUGGCUUACGCCUGUAAUCCCAGCACUUUGGGAGGCCAAGGCGGGUGGAUCAUGAUAUCAGGAGAUCGAGACCAUCCUGGCUAACACGGUGAAACCCCGUCUCUACUAAAAAUAAAAAAAAUUAGCCAGGCGUGGUGGUGGGCGCCUGUAGUUCCAGCUACUCGGGAGGGUAAGGCAGGAGAAUGGUGUGAACCCAGGAGGCGGAGCUUGCAGUGAGCUGAGAUCAUGCCACUGCACUCCAGCCUGGGUGAUGGAGCAAGACGCUGUGUC
This 1135-nucleotide long non-coding RNA is filed under the name Homo sapiens (human). RNAcentral describes it as "HSALNT0139848". Lineage: Eukaryota; Metazoa; Chordata; Mammalia; Primates; Hominidae. The record is from RNAcentral.